RNAcentral lists this ribosomal RNA (470 nucleotides) under Dacrydium vitreum. Its description in RNAcentral is "partial 16S ribosomal RNA". It matches the Rfam family "Bacterial large subunit ribosomal RNA", at positions 1826 to 2595 of the family's 2925-position model. Lineage: Eukaryota; Metazoa; Mollusca; Bivalvia; Mytilida; Mytilidae. The record is from RNAcentral.
CUCCUUUCGAAARAUAUGUAAGGUAGGCCCUGCCCACUGUUUUACGGAAUAAAGGGACUCGGUAAUGUGGGUUAAAGUAGCAUAAUAAUUUGCCUUUUAAAAGGAGGCUGGAAUGAAUGGGUUGACGUGCGAAGAUUGUGUCAAGAUUAAGGAAUUGAAGUUUAUUUGCACGUGAAGAAGCGCCCAUAAUUUAGGAGGACGGAAAGACCCUAGAAGCUUUAAUAAAAGGGUGAGAAAAGUUCUUGUUUGUUUUUUUUGUUGGGGCAACAACGCGUAAAUAUCGUGGAGCUUUUUUUUACUCACAGGUUUGGAAUCUAUUAGUAAGGAGAAUGUCAAGUUACUCUAGGGAUAACAGCACAAUAUUCUUUGAUAGUCCAUAUUGGUGAGAGUGUUUGUGACCUCGAUGUUGGCUUGUGAUAUCCUUUAGGUGUAGGAGCUUAUUAUGGUUGGUCUGUUCGCCCAUUAAAAUC